Molecule: ribosomal RNA, 507 nt
Filed under: uncultured Entrophospora
Lineage: Eukaryota; Fungi; Glomeromycota; Glomeromycetes; Entrophosporales; Entrophosporaceae
Description: SSU rRNA
Rfam family: Eukaryotic small subunit ribosomal RNA
Source: RNAcentral
CCAAUAGCGUAUAUUAAAGUUGUUGCAGUUAAAAAGCUCGUAGUUGAAUUUCGGGAUUGACGUGAUGGUCAUGCCUUAAGGGGUAUGAACUGUUACUGUUGAUUUCUCACCUUCUGGAGAAACUUGAUGUCCUUUAUUGGGUGUCUUGCGGAUCCAGGACCUUUACCUUGAAAAAAUUAGAGUGUUUAAAGCAGGCAUUUUUGCUCGAAUACAUUAGCAUGGAAUAAUAGAAUAGGACGGCAUGGUUCUAUUUUGUUGGUUUCUAGGAUCACCGUAAUGAUUAAUAGGGAUAGUUGGGGGAAUUAGUAUUCAAUUGUCAGAGGUGAAAUUCUUGGAUUUAUUGAAGACUAACUACUGCGAAAGCAUUUGCCAAGGAUGUUUUCAUUAAUCAAGAACGAAAGUUAGGGGAUCGAAGACGAUCAGAUACCGUCGUAGUCUUAACCAUAAACUAUGCCGACUAGGAAUCAGACGAUGUUAAUUUUUUAAUGACUCGUUUGGCACCUUACG